Molecule: long non-coding RNA, 251 nt
Filed under: Elaeis guineensis (African oil palm)
Lineage: Eukaryota; Viridiplantae; Streptophyta; Magnoliopsida; Arecales; Arecaceae
Description: long non-coding RNA (EGUI_LNC021662)
Source: RNAcentral
UUGUUCUCAUCAACAUGAAAAACAAUAUCAUUCAGUGAUAAAAAAUAUGAGAUCAUUAUUAUAAAAUCUAUGACCAUAAAAUUUAUCAAAAGGAGAGCAAUCUUUGCCUUUUACAUUAAUUUCAAAAUCAUGUUACAAUAACAAAAGAAUUAAAAUAAUAUUUUGACAAAUUUAGGCAUAUAAUAUCAAUCUACUAGUUUCAAAAUCUUGCCAGAAGGUAACACAUACAAAUAGGUUCCUUCAGCUUCAGC